This 389-nucleotide ribosomal RNA is filed under the name uncultured Desulfobulbus sp. Its description in RNAcentral is "bacterial SSU rRNA". It matches the Rfam family "Bacterial small subunit ribosomal RNA", at positions 999 to 1382 of the family's 1533-position model. Lineage: Bacteria; Pseudomonadati; Thermodesulfobacteriota; Desulfobulbia; Desulfobulbales; Desulfobulbaceae. The record is from RNAcentral.
UUAGGAAACUAGGGGUGCUUCCAGUCUGGAAGAAUCUGGAGACAGGUGCUGCAUGGCUGUCGUCAGCUCGUGUCGUGAGAUGUUGGGUUAAGUCCCGCAACGAGCGCAACCCUUGCCUUUAGUUGCCAGCAGUUCGGCUGGGCACUCUAAAGGGACUGCCGGUGUUAAACCGGAGGAAGGUGGGGAUGACGUCAAGUCCUCAUGGCCUUUAUGACCAGGGCUACACACGUACUACAAUGGCCGAUACAAAGGGCAGCGACACUGCGAGGUGAAGCCAAUCCCGUAAAAUCGGUCUCAGUCCGGAUUGGAGUCUGCAACUCGACUCCAUGAAGUUGGAAUCGCUAGUAAUCGUGGAUCAGCAUGCCACGGUGAAUACGUUCCCGGGCCUU